CCUGUUUCUGUACAACUUGUAAAGAGUUUGGACCUUAAGUUUUAACUAGGUUUGCUUGAGAAAGCGUUAUUCAUGCUAACUUCUUGUAGAUUUCUGUUUUUAACUGACUCUUGCAAGAAGAACAUGUGGAUUUAUCAGUCAAAACUGUUGAACAAUUAUGGCGGAUGGAAUGCAGUGUUAAAGGAAAAUAUUAAGAUAUUCAUCGUGACCUAGAAGGGGAUCCCAGCCUUGGAAUCAGGAGCCGAUGAGAACCAGCUCAAACACAUUGACCCUCAAAAUGGAAACUUCAUGUGGAAGAUGGAAAAAUUGCUCUAAGAGUGUUCCAUGUUAUUGAUAAAAUACUUCCAGCACCUUCGUUCUGCUUGACAAAUUACUCCAGAAGAGUGGCAGUCACGGAAUGGAAGUUGAAUUUUUUGGAAGCAUCAUCUGGGCAGUGAGAAGAUGCCUGCACGGAUCACUCGUUCGUAGAUCACAGGGUCUUUGGGCCAAGGGACAAACUGUGUGGGCGAGACAGAAACGUCUUCACAGUCUUCUCAUAAGCAAUCAGGCUUGCUAUUUCCCAAGGUGACGCGAGG
Molecule: long non-coding RNA, 575 nt
Filed under: Equus caballus (horse)
Lineage: Eukaryota; Metazoa; Chordata; Mammalia; Perissodactyla; Equidae
Description: lncRNA (ENSECAG00000041449.2)
Source: RNAcentral